Molecule: non-coding RNA, 22 nt
Filed under: Arabidopsis thaliana (thale cress)
Lineage: Eukaryota; Viridiplantae; Streptophyta; Magnoliopsida; Brassicales; Brassicaceae
Source: RNAcentral
UGAAUACUGUGUGCUAGCUAGC